Molecule: long non-coding RNA, 1173 nt
Organism: Humulus lupulus (European hop)
Lineage: Eukaryota; Viridiplantae; Streptophyta; Magnoliopsida; Rosales; Cannabaceae
Exons: 4
Source: RefSeq, a predicted model, not a curated record
GAUGACCAACCUCCUCUUGAUAAAGAGCAACCUCCCCAAGUUGAUGGUCAAUCUCCCCAAGUUGAAGAGCAAUGUCUUCAGGUUGAUGACCAACAUCCUCUUGAUAAAGAGCAACCUCCCCAAGUUGAAGAGCACCCUCCCUAAGUUGAAGAACACCCUCCAAAGAGGCCACUAAAACGUUCACACUACAUGAAAUCACCAUACACUGACCCUUUUCUUCGGACCAGAUUGGGAUGAGAAGAUCAUGUCCAGUUUGAUCCUUCAAGGGAGAUUAAUCCGGAAAAACAAAAGAUGUUUGAUGAACAUUUAAGAAGUCAAAAAAAGUAUUGAUUGUCGGCUUGGUUUACGAACUAUAGAUUAUUUCCAGCGGAUUAUUAAAGACUAUGAAUGGCUAUUUACACAUUGAUGAUGCUCUCUUUGGCAUUAGAAAGUGAUAACAUGGGUAUCAAGAUGUGAUUUCACAAGAUGCAAUCAUUUUGGAUGAAAAAUUUACUCAAUUAGUGACCAUCAACUUCAACUCUAACCCUAACAUUAUUGAUGAUGAGUAUUGGAGCGACCUCAUCAAAAGAAAUGGAUGCUUUGAUGUUGUCACUCCAAACGAUGAUUCCGGCUAUGCUUUGUUUAUCUUCACAAUUUGAGGACAUAGCACAAUGUCUUCACAAACCAUGGAAAUAUACACGCUUACUUAGUGUUCCACAAAAUUCAAAGGGAGAUUAUGCAGUCUACGCAAUUAAAUUCAUUGAGUUUGACAUGGUUGGUUGUACUUUUAAUCGUCUUUCAGAUGACAUGAUACCAUUCUACAGAAUGAAGAUGGCGGUAGAUAUUUUUUUUUCAAGAUUGGGAUCUUUAGUAAUUUGUAUAUUUUAAAAUGUUUGGCUAGUUUCAAGAAUGACAAUGUUUUAAAAACUUUAUAUGUAGUUGAGCUCUACUAAGAUCAUCAUGAAUUUCUCUAGAUUUCUCAACCAUAUACUAAUGUCAGUUGAGCUUAUUUAGUAUUUGGAAAUCUCAACUGGAUAUAGUCGAGCUCUAUGGUAAACAAAAUUACAAUUUUGAUAAAUUAAUCUUUUUAAGAUUAUUAAGGUGAUGAUGAAACAAUAUGUAACUAGAUAGUGCUUAUUUUGUAUGUUGAUUUCUCAUUUUGUGCAAUAAAGUUUAUGGAUUUUCUUCUUCAAA